RNAcentral lists this ribosomal RNA (135 nucleotides) under uncultured bacterium. Its description in RNAcentral is "partial 16S ribosomal RNA". It matches the Rfam family "Bacterial small subunit ribosomal RNA", at positions 355 to 507 of the family's 1533-position model. The record is from RNAcentral.
UCGGGAAUUUUGCGCAAUGGACGAAAGUCUGACGCAGCAACGCCGCGUGAGGGAUGAAGGCCUUCGGGUUGUAAACCUCUUUUCUCAGGGACGAUAAUGACGGUACCUGAGGAAUAAGCCACGGCUAACUACGUG